ACGCUCGACACCUACGGGAGCAGCAGUGGGGAAUAUUGCACAAUGGGGGAAACCCUGAUGCAGCGACGCCGCGUGAAGGAAGAAGUAUCUCGGUAUGUAAACUUCUAUCAGCAGGGAAGAAAGUGACGGUACCUGACUAAGAAGCCCCGGCUAACUACGUGCCGACAGCCGCGGUAAUCUGAGCGGGCUGGCAAGGC
This 197-nucleotide ribosomal RNA is filed under the name uncultured bacterium. RNAcentral's name for it is "partial 16S ribosomal RNA". It matches the Rfam family "Bacterial small subunit ribosomal RNA", at positions 328 to 539 of the family's 1533-position model. The record is from RNAcentral.